AGCGGGACUCGGUUCUGCCCCCGGUUCCAUUAAAUUUCGCCCAAAUCCACCGGAAGCAGUCAACACGGAUGGGUCGAAACUCAAGAUCCAGUGGCAGGGAGACCGUCGUCCAUGUCGCCAGCUCCGAUCAGGUGCUAGCUUUGCAUGUAUCAAAUUUUGCUCCUUUAAUUUCUUUGAAGCGGGUGCGGUGCGGCCUUGCGGGAGCAACCGACCUGCCGGCCAGCGGGUCAUCUCGUCGUCUCCGAUGUCUUCCGUGCCUGAUGUGCUCCCGUAAAGUGUAGGUCACCUGAAUUUCUUCUAAGCGGUUCUAUUGCCAGAUCCAUUUCCAUGGUGACGGACGUCGUUGGCCAUUAUGUGAACUAUUGUUGAACACUUUUUUCCCUGAAAUUCCUGCUCCUUGGCCACUAGCCAGAUGGUAUAACCGGAGCUGUUCCGGUGGUUGGAUUUGCCGGGUCAUGCAGAAACUCUAAUGAAAUUCUUUUUUCUCUUCAUGGGCAGUGCAUUUUGUUUCUAAUCAAAUUCUUUUUUCUCUCCAUGGGCAGCACAUUUUUUUAACUAUUUGGUUCACAGAACUUCCCUUGUCUUGUAUUUUUCUCCUUCUAUUUCUUGCUUCCAUGAAUUUUCUGGUGUCCAUAUUGUUUUCCCCUAUGAGAUUCGAUCCAUUUUUUCUCGUGUUAUUGUUCUGCAGAUAAAAUCUCUGUUGAUUAAUAAUUUCUUCUCUAUGUUGUGAGGUAAUUAUCCCUAGAAUUUGUUCUUCUGUAACUAAGUUUAAAACGUCACAAAAAUGGUUGCAAAAACAAUGAGCCAGUUUUUUUGUGCUGAUCAGUGUCCUUGGUGGAGGAAUUGUCCUGUUUUUUCAACUUGAUUAGUGUGCAAAAACUUUGAUGUCCACCAGUUGUGUAUAGUGCAUCAAAAUUUGGAAAUUCCCUAUGCUGACUUGGUAAUGCUGGUGAUUUUGUAGUCUUCAAACAUUGUCAAACAUAAUAUUUAAUAGUACUAAUGUACAUGCAAUUAAGCGAGUAAUAUAUAACAUACAUAUUUAAUUUUCUAUAGCUGGAAUUCUUAACAUCUACAAAAAACACUUGAUUGUCUUGGUGUUCAUUCUACGUGCUAAACAGCACCUUUGUUAAUUUUUGGUGUGAUUAAAUCACAAGUGUAAUUUGAAAAACAACAUAAACAUGCCACAAUCAUAGUCACAGGUGAGAUUUCAAACAUUGAAUGAAUGGAUUGGCAUUGCACAUCAUUGAAGAAUGCAUUAGUUUGGGGACCAGACUCACGUGGCCUAGCUGGCCUUUGUGGCAGAUUUCUGUUUCUUAGAAUUAAAAAACACAUACACAGCAGAAAGGAGAGAAAAUACAGCCUCCGAAUAAUGAUUAGUCAAGAGGGCAAAUUAUGGUUUAAUUGAAUUAAUCCAUAAGUGCAUUUGGUACUAAUCACAGCCCCCAAAUUUUUAAUGGCCACCAUUGUGUUUUUGUAAUUAAGCCAAUAGAUUUUUUAUUUCUUGAUUAUUCUUGGAGGUUGAAGAUAAUUUUCAGUAAGGAUUAUUCUACAGUUUUAGUCUUGUAACGUUCAAAGCAGUGCAAUUUUUGUUAUAAUCAAGUGCUUAAUCUGAUUUUAUAAUGAAGUUCCACAUUGGAAUCAGUUAAUUCCGUUUUAAUCCAUAGCCAUAGGUAAGCAUGCUCGUCGGUUUGCAUGCUGUGAUUCAAACCAAGGUACCAUUGAUCUCGCUGCUAUUUGUGGGCCACUACCUUGUAGUAGAGUACUCAAUAGCUGGUGGUCUUUGCCUUGUGCCAAACCUGGUACUUGAUGGGGUGGCAUAGGUUGCCCUAUGCAGAGAUGGUUGGCGUACAAAUACUUGGGGCUAGAGAUUGUAAUAAGUGAUGGCAUAUUGCAG
Molecule: ribosomal RNA, 1894 nt
Filed under: Triticum aestivum (bread wheat)
Lineage: Eukaryota; Viridiplantae; Streptophyta; Magnoliopsida; Poales; Poaceae
Description: partial small subunit ribosomal RNA
Source: RNAcentral